This 88-nucleotide transfer RNA is filed under the name Armatimonadota bacterium. Its description in RNAcentral is "Armatimonadetes bacterium (bioreactor metagenome) tRNA-Ser". It matches the Rfam family "tRNA". From Rfam's summary of the family: Transfer RNA (tRNA) molecules are approximately 80 nucleotides in length. Their secondary structure includes four short double-helical elements and three loops (D, anti-codon, and T loops). Lineage: Bacteria; Bacillati; Armatimonadota. RNAcentral also lists the same sequence under 1 other name. The record is from RNAcentral.
GGAGGGAUGGCAGAGUGGUCGAUUGCGGCGGUCUUGAAAACCGCUAAGGUGAAAGCCUUCAGGGGUUCGAAUCCCCUUCCCUCCUCCA